UACAGAGGCCCCAAGCGUUACUGAGAAUCACUGGGUUUAAAGGGUGCGUAGGUGGCGCGUUAAGUCCGUUGUGAAAUCCCUGGGCUCAACCCAGGAAUUGCUUCGGAUACUGGCGUGCUUGAGGCCGGUAGGGGUCACUGGAACUGACGGUGGAGCGGUGAAAUGCGUAGAUAUCGUCAGGAACGCCGAUGGUGAAGACAGGUGACUGGGCCGGAACUGACACUGAGGCACGGAAAGCGUGGGGAGCGAACGGGG
RNAcentral lists this ribosomal RNA (255 nucleotides) under uncultured bacterium. Its description in RNAcentral is "partial 16S ribosomal RNA". It matches the Rfam family "Bacterial small subunit ribosomal RNA", at positions 524 to 777 of the family's 1533-position model. The record is from RNAcentral.